RNAcentral lists this ribosomal RNA (253 nucleotides) under uncultured bacterium. RNAcentral's name for it is "partial 16S ribosomal RNA". It matches the Rfam family "Bacterial small subunit ribosomal RNA", at positions 524 to 776 of the family's 1533-position model. The record is from RNAcentral.
UACGUAGGGUGCGAGCGUUAAUCGGAAUUACUGGGCGUAAAGCGUGCGCAGGCGGUUUUGUAAGCCAGAUGUGAAAGCCCCGGGCUUAACCUGGGAAUGGCAUUUGGGACUGCAAGGCUUGAGUGCGGCAGAGGAGACUGGAAUUCCCGGUGUAGCAGUGAAAUGCGUAGAUAUCGGGAGGAACACCAGUGGCGAAGGCGACUUCCUGGCCUGUUCUUGACGCUGAGGCGCGAAAGCUAGGGUAGCAAACGGG